UGAAUACGAGAUGCUACGGCGUCGAAGCAGUCUAUGUCAUACUUCCAAGAAAAGCUCGCACUGUCAUAAACAAAUAAUGCCUGUACCAUAACCGACACAGGUGGGUAGGUAGAGUAUACUAAGGGGCGCGAGAUAACUCUCUCUAAGGAACUCGGCAAAAUGACUCCGUAACUUCGGGAGAAGGAGUGCCUUAUUUAUAAGGUUGCAAUAACAAGAUCCAAGCAACUGUUUAUCAAAAACACAGGUCUCCGCUAAGUCGUAAGACGAUGUAUGGGGGCUGACGCCUGCCCAGUGCCAGAAGGUUAAAGAAGUUGGUUAGCAUUCGCGAAGCUGAUAACUGAAGCCCUGGUGAACGGCGGCCGUAACAAUAACGGUCCUAAGGUAGCGAAAUUCCUUGUCGGGUAAGUUCCGACCCGCACGAAAGGCGUAAUGAUUUGGAUACUGUCUCGGAGAGGGGCUCGGUGAAAUAGACUUGUCUGUGAAGAUGCGGACUACCUGCACCAGGACAGAAAGACCCUAUGAAGCUUUACUGUAACUUGAGAUUGAAAUUGGACUUUACUUGCGCAGUAUAGGUGGGAGGCGUUGAUAAUAUUCUUGCGGGAUUAUUUGAGCCAUCAGUGAGAUACCACUCUUGUAAUGUUAGAUUUCUAACUUUGUAUCAUUAUCUGGUCAAAGGACAGUUUCAGGCGGGCAGUUUGACUGGGGCGGUCGCCUCCUAAACGGUAACGGAGGCGCACAAAGGUUUCCUCUGAACGGGUAGAAAUCGUAUCUAGAGUGUAAAGGCAUAAGGAAGCUUGACUGUGAGACCUACAAGUCGAGCAGGGACGAAAGUCGGUCUUAGUGAUCUGACGGUGCUGAGUGGAAAGGCCGUCACUCAACGGAUAAAAGUUACUCUAAGGAUAACAGGCUGAUCUCCCCCAAGAGUCCACAUCGACGGGGAGGUUUGGCACCUCGAUGUCGGCUCAUCGCAUCCUGGGGCGGUAGUACGUCCCGAGGGUUGGGCUGUUCGCCCAUGAAAGCGGUACGCGAGCUGGGUUCAGAACGUCGUGAGACAGUUCGGUCCAUAUCCGGUGUAGGCGUUAGAAUAUUGAGAGGAGCCUUCUUUAGUACGAGAGGACCGAGAAGGACAUACCUCUGGUGUACCAGUUAUCGUGCCAACGGUAAACGCUGGGUAGCUAUGUAUGGAGUGGAUAACCGCUGAAAGCAUCUAAGUGGGAAGCCCACCUCAAGAUAAGUAUUCGC
Molecule: ribosomal RNA, 1242 nt
Filed under: metagenome
Description: bacterial LSU rRNA
Rfam family: Bacterial large subunit ribosomal RNA
Source: RNAcentral